CCUCCCUCUCUAUCUAUUGUAUUUCUAUUGACAUUAUCUUGUUCUCUCUCCCCCUUUCUCUCUCUCCUUUUGGCCUUUACAACUCUCUCUUCCUCUAUCUCAUCGGCACAAACUCAAGCCUCCCUCUCUCCCUUUAGUCUAACCAUUGAAAUUGUCUCUCUCUCUCUCACUAGAAUCAAUUUCCUCCCUCUCUCUCUAUCCCACUAGCAGAAGUAUCAUCAAUCCCAUAGCUCUUUGCCUCUUUGUUACCGAAAUCCCAUCCCCCACAUCCCUCUUUCUCACUGAAAGAUAGCUUAGGGAAGUGUCAAAUUCAUCUUAACAUGGACAAAGAUAAAAGCAAGAAGAGGAUUAUACU
RNAcentral lists this long non-coding RNA (355 nucleotides) under Elaeis guineensis (African oil palm). RNAcentral describes it as "long non-coding RNA (EGUI_LNC010151)". The record is from RNAcentral. Lineage: Eukaryota; Viridiplantae; Streptophyta; Magnoliopsida; Arecales; Arecaceae.